AUUGAACGCUGGCGGCAUGCUUUACACAUGCAAGUCGAACGGUAACAGGGAGCUUGCUCCGCUGACGAGUGGCGAACGGGUGAGUAAUGCAUCGGAACGUACCCAGUCGUGGGGGAUAACGUAGCGAAAGUUACGCUAAUACCGCAUACGUCCUGAGGGAGAAAGCGGGGGACCGUAAGGCCUCGCGCGAUUGGAGCGGCCGAUGUCGGAUUAGCUAGUUGGUAGGGUAAAGGCCUACCAAGGCGACGAUCCGUAGCGGGUCUGAGAGGAUGAUCCGCCACACUGGGACUGAGACACGGCCCAGACUCCUACGGGAGGCAGCAGUGGGGAAUUUUGGACAAUGGGCGAAAGCCUGAUCCAGCCAUGCCGCGUGAGUGAAGAAGGCCUUCGGGUUGUAAAGCUCUUUCAGACGGAAAGAAAUCGCAUCUUCUAAUACAGGGUGUGGAUGACGGUACCGUAAGAAGAAGCACCGGCUAACUACGUGC
RNAcentral lists this ribosomal RNA (485 nucleotides) under uncultured bacterium. RNAcentral's name for it is "partial 16S ribosomal RNA". It matches the Rfam family "Bacterial small subunit ribosomal RNA", at positions 30 to 508 of the family's 1533-position model. RNAcentral also lists the same sequence under 1 other name. The record is from RNAcentral.